CCUACGGGUGGCAGCAGUGGGGAAUAUUGCACAAUGGGGGGAAGCCUGAUGCAGCGACGCCGCGUGAGUGAAGAAGUCUUUCGGUAUGUAAAGCCCUUUCAGCAGGGAAGAAAAUGACGGUACUUGUCUAAGAAGCCCUGGCUAAUUACGUGCCAGCAGCCGCGGUAAAACGGAGGGGGCAAGCGUUAACCGGAUUUACUGGGUGUAAAGGGAGCGUAGACGGUUUGGCAAGUCUGAUGUGAAAGCCCAGGGCUCAACCAGGGGACUGCUUUGGAAACUGUAAAACUGGAGUGCAGGAGAGGUAGGCGGAAUGCCUGGUGUAGCGGUGAAAUGCGUAGAUAUUAGGAGGAACACCAGUGGCGAAGGCGGCUUACUGGACUGUAACUGACGUUGAGGCUCGAAGGCGUGGGGAGCAAACAGGAUUAGAUACCCGAGUAGUC
This 440-nucleotide ribosomal RNA is filed under the name uncultured bacterium. RNAcentral's name for it is "partial 16S ribosomal RNA". It matches the Rfam family "Bacterial small subunit ribosomal RNA", at positions 338 to 795 of the family's 1533-position model. The record is from RNAcentral.